Molecule: transfer-messenger RNA, 404 nt
Filed under: Crocinitomicaceae
Lineage: Bacteria; Pseudomonadati; Bacteroidota; Flavobacteriia; Flavobacteriales
Also listed under: 1 other name
Description: M2408 sp016183815 Standard tmRNA
Rfam family: transfer-messenger RNA
About the family: Bacterial tmRNA, also known as 10Sa RNA or SsrA, is named for its dual tRNA and mRNA-like properties. Its role is to liberate the mRNA from a stalled ribosome.
Source: RNAcentral
GGGGUCGUUUUUGGAUUUGACAGCAAAAGCGAUGCUUAAGUGAAAGCAUGUAGAGCGUUGAGGUGGAGCUCUUGAAUAUCCUGUCUCAAACCAUAAAAGACAACACGUCUUACGCACUUGCAGCUUAAUCCGACAAAGUCGAAUUGGCUUAAUUCAGUCGAAGUUUAGUAGGCCGAACAAGUACUUUCACCCACGCCUCCGUCUGUUAGGCAGGGAUUUUGAGAGUUCAGAAAUUACAGACUGGUACUAACCGCACUUCGAGGAAGGUAUAAGAAACUAGAAGAUAAGUUGCUAAUUGGGUGUUUUUGUCCGUUUAGCAGUCGAAAAUCAAACAAAAACUAAACAUGUAGAAGACUUAAAAGUCCGUUGUUUGGACGAGGGUUCGAACCCCUCCGACUCCACGA